RNAcentral lists this ribosomal RNA (537 nucleotides) under uncultured bacterium. RNAcentral's name for it is "bacterial SSU rRNA". It matches the Rfam family "Bacterial small subunit ribosomal RNA", at positions 102 to 674 of the family's 1533-position model. The record is from RNAcentral.
ACGGGUGAGUAACGCGUGGGAACGUGCCUUCUGGUUCGGAAUAACUCAGGGAAACUUGAGCUAAUACCGGAUACGCCCUUUUGGGGAAAGGUUUACUGCCGGAAGAUCGGCCCGCGUCUGAUUAGCUAGUUGGUGGGGUAACGGCCUACCAAGGCGACGAUCAGUAGCUGGUCUGAGAGGAUGAUCAGCCACACUGGGACUGAGACACGGCCCAGACUCCCACGGGAGGCAGCAGUGGGGAAUAUUGGACAAUGGGCGCAAGCCUGAUCCAGCCAUGCCGCGUGAGUGAUGAAGGCCUUAGGGUUGUAAAGCUCUUUUAUCCGGGACGAUAAUGACGGUACCGGAGGAAUAAGCCCCGGCUAACUUCGUGCCAGCAGCCGCGGUAAUACGAAGGGGGCUAGCGUUGCUCGGAAUCACUGGGCGUAAAGGGCGCGUAGGCGGUCUUUUAAGUCGGGGGUGAAAGCCUGUGGCUCAACCACAGAAUUGCCUUCGAUACUGGGAGACUUGAGUUCGGAAGAGGUUGGUGGAACUGCGAGU